UAGCAGUAAGAAUUCCGUUGUAUCCUUUUUACUUCAGUGUAUUCAAUUAAUAACUUGAUUCUAAUGAACUUUGGUAAUUAUACUAUGAUCUUUUCGUCUCGCCAACAUAUUUGAUUUCACCAUUAUACAUUUGGCCCAUUUUCAGGUUUAGUUCGUGGCUCGCGAUUAUCGGCAAGCGUUUCAGCCUCCAGUGUGACUUCUCCAGAAUCCAAAGUGGUCUCAUCGCCGAAGGAUCACUCAGAAUCAUUAAACAGCGAGUUGGCCAAGGAAUCUGUCGAUGGAUGUUUGCCAAGUAAACUGACAUCUGGAUCUUAUAAUGUGACAAAUCCACCUACAACCCCACCGGCCACCUCUCCCAACACCUCAUCUAACCAGACGAACUCUGAAUUGACGAGGUCUAACGAAACAAAUGGUGUUGAUACAGAUCUUGAUGUGGUAAGUCGCGAUGGAUCUUUAUACCACCCAACACUCUUCAGAGCAAAAGCUCCAAGAAAAAGGCCUCCAUCUACAAUCAUUCUUAAAGAAGACUUCACCCUUCCGGAGGAACUAACGAAUGGAAAUGGAACGACUAAUAAUGAAACCAAUGUUGAAGUAACGGAAACAUCCCCUCAUCAAGCAAAUAAACCACCAUGGGUGGAGGAGUUAAAAAUGAAUCAAGCCAAAAAGAAUCUUCUUCAAGGGCGAACAAGAGUGAUCAUUGGGCCAAGCCAGACAACGUGUUCAAGUAAUGAGACAGGAACGAUAAUGACUAGCACAACAAUUAUCUCAUCCUCUUCAGUGCCCUCAACUGUCCCUGCCAUGGAGCAGACUACAACAAUCACAUCUGGAAAGUCCGGUUUUGUAACUACAGGGGUCGGUGUCACUUUCCGGCCGAACACCAGUGUUCAGCGACCUGUUUCUAUGCAGGCAUUGCCAAAUGAUAGUGUCAGUGUCUCGCUGAAGGAAUGGAAUGAACUGUAUAGUAAAAUUGACCGUCUGGAACUAGCACUUAUAAAUCAACAAGAAUCAUUUAGUAAGGAAAUAUCAAGUUUACAGAAGCAAUUAAGCGAAGAAGUUGGGCAUCGGAAGAAAAUGCGACAAGAAAUAGAUAAAUUAAUAGACCUCAUGACACAGGUAUAG
RNAcentral lists this long non-coding RNA (1119 nucleotides) under Bemisia tabaci. Its description in RNAcentral is "lncRNA ENSASIAIIG002248". The record is from RNAcentral. Lineage: Eukaryota; Metazoa; Arthropoda; Insecta; Hemiptera; Aleyrodidae.